RNAcentral lists this ribosomal RNA (459 nucleotides) under uncultured bacterium. RNAcentral's name for it is "bacterial SSU rRNA". It matches the Rfam family "Bacterial small subunit ribosomal RNA", at positions 335 to 784 of the family's 1533-position model. The record is from RNAcentral.
ACUCCUACGGGAGGCAGCAGUGGGGAAUAUUGGACAAUGGGCGAAAGCCUGAUCCAGCCAUGCCGCGUGUGUGAAGAAGGUCUUCGGAUUGUAAAGCACUUUAAGUUGGGAGGAAGGGCAGUUACCUAAUACGUGAUUGUUUUGACGUUACCGACAGAAUAAGCACCGGCUAACUCUGUGCCAGCAGCCGCGGUAAUACAGAGGGGUGCAAGCGUUAAUCGGAAUUACUGGGCGUAAAGCGCGCGUAGGUGGUUUGUUAAGUUGGAUGUGAAAUCCCCGGGGCUCAACCUGGGAACUGCAUUCAAAACUGACUGACUAGAGUAUGGUAGAGGGUGGUGGAAUUUCCUGUGUAGCGGUGAAAUGCGUAGAUAUAGGAAGGAACACCAGUGGCGAAGGCGACCACCUGGACUGAUACUGACACUGAGGUGCGAAAGCGUGGGGAGCAAACAGGAUUAGAUA